RNAcentral lists this ribosomal RNA (253 nucleotides) under uncultured bacterium. RNAcentral describes it as "partial 16S ribosomal RNA". It matches the Rfam family "Bacterial small subunit ribosomal RNA", at positions 524 to 776 of the family's 1533-position model. The record is from RNAcentral.
UACGUAGGGUGCAAGCGUUGUCCGGAAUUAUUGGGCGUAAAGAGCUCGUAGGCGGUUUGUCGCGUCUGCUGUGAAAACCCGAAGCUCAACCUCGGGCCUGCAGUGGGUACGGGCAGACUAGAGUGCGGUAGGGGAGAUUGGAAUUCCUGGUGUAGCGGUGAAAUGCGCAGAUAUCAGGAGGAACACCGGUGGCGAAGGCGCCGCUCUGGGCCGAAACUGACGCUGAGGAGCGAAAGUGUGGGGAGCGAACAGG